Acinonyx jubatus (cheetah) is the source of this 1992-nucleotide long non-coding RNA. RefSeq lists it as uncharacterized. Lineage: Eukaryota; Metazoa; Chordata; Mammalia; Carnivora; Felidae. The record is from RefSeq and is a predicted model, not a curated record. The transcript is spliced from 3 exons.
CGGGCCUGUAAAUGGCGUCUAGGGGACGAGGAGCGUUGGGGAGAGAGAGAGAGAAAGCAGGCACCGGUCACUCCGGAACAGGUCUAGGCACCCCGGAAGCGGCACCCAAAGAACGCCGGCCCGAAAGAGGAAGAGGAGAAGAUGCAGAAAAUAACAGUCUGAAAGAGGACGUCCUUACUGAAGUCCCCUAGCCAGGAAGCAGCAGGGCCUGGAAUGAAACGCAAGCCUGUCUCACCCUAGAACAAGCCCACAUUUUUUUCCCCUGGCGGCGGGCAGCCUGCCUGGUGCCCUCUCAUGGGAGUGGAGGUAAAACAGGAGAGAAGUCCAGAGCAUGUGAGACUGAGCUCCCUGGGGACAGACAUCUGAUUCGUGCCUGCGGCCCUACUAGCCCCUGAUAGAAGUACAGAUUUUGUGAGGGGGAGUGCAGAAGCUGCCGGAAGGGGGGUCUCAGGACCCAUGCCCCACAUUGGGAAAUAGGUGAAAGUAGCGGGGCAAAUCCAAGAUACUUGAGAACGGGAUCACUCACGUGUCCUCUUAGUUUCUUAGUGAAAAGCCACUUCUAACCAGUUCCUGCCUUGUCACAGUGAAAACCACCUUGGCUGGAGGUGAGGAAUUUGGGCCCCCCAGGCGUUCAGGGUUUUCAUUCAGUGAUAUUCACUGAGGCCCUGCAUGUGCCAGCCCUUGACAUUGAAGACACAGUAGAGAACAGAAAUGAAAAUACGGUAUUAAUCAUCCCUGAGCUUCUCAAUGGGCCCGUUGGCUAAGUGCUGGGGCUCUGGAGCCAGGCUCCCUGGGUCAGAGCCCAGCUCCCCCUUCUCUACUGUGGCUUUGGGCAGGUUUCUUAAAUCUCUCUCUGCCUCAGUUACUUUUUAUGUAAAACAGGACCACACAGUACCCACUUUGCCUCCUUUUUAGAGAUUUUGUGCGGUCGUUUGGCAGGGGAUCUGGCUGUAACACUGCAAGGAGGGCUUCCUGCAGGGGGAGGGUGUUGGAGAUGUCUUCAUCCAGUUCCUGUCUCCUAUACUGCCAAGUGGGCUGGCGUCCAGAGGAAGGGCAAUUCGUGGCAGUGGGUGGUGCAAGCCCCAGUUUAGCUCCCGGAGCCGAGGGAUGAGGCUAACUGUGGCUUUGCAGGGAAAUCCGAAGAUAGCUCAGCAGAGAAGGAUGACUCCCAGCCGGGCUUCCCCGCAGAGCGAAGGAAGCAAGGGUGAAUCAGCCUCUCAAAGUGGAAUGGAGCCGUUGAGGGAAGUGAUGGGAAGUGAAACCUCCAAGAGGUCCAAGGCCACUCGGCCUCUGACUCACCUCAGGCAGGGCAGAGGGAGGGCUCAGCCACAGGGCAGGGCAAACUGGGUGUGAAUCUGGGCCCUGCGGCCAGACCUCCAGCCUCUAGACAUGGCCCUUCCUGCAACCUCAGUUUCUGUAUCUCUACAACGGGGUGGGAGGGGUUUGGUCGAGGUGAUUUACAGGAGGGAAGCACACAGUAGGGCCUCCAGAACUGCUAGCCCCUCCCCCUUUCCUGUCUGAGUCUUAAACAGAUAAUGAAAUGAGUAUGUUGGGAUAGUUUGGGGUUCUUGUUAGUCUCCUGACCGGUGGGUCGUCCUCUAGGUCCUGGCGAGAUGAGUAGGGGAGGGAGGGCGGCAGGAAAAAGAAAAAGAGCAGCCAUGCACCACAUCUGAAAAUCAAUAGCGAAAAUAAAAAUGAUGAACUGUCUCUCGUGUAUCUGGUUCUUACUAAAUGCCUGCCCGUCUGUGCCGGUCCCUGUUUUCAUCUUCACAGCAGUUCCAUGGGAAGGUGGACCCAUUCUAGAAGUGAGGUAAAAUGUUCAGAGAGGUGAAGCCACUUGCCCAAAGUCACACAGGUAGUGGAUGGCAGAGCUAGGCUUUGGACCCUGAACCAAAUCCUGGAAUUGAAGCCUUUGCUCUUAGCCUCAGAUCUGUGGGGGUGGGGGUUAUUGAGGACCCACAGACCUGGGAGGGCACUUAGAGGAGGGGUCUG